Molecule: ribosomal RNA, 478 nt
Filed under: uncultured bacterium
Lineage: Bacteria
Description: partial 16S ribosomal RNA
Rfam family: Bacterial small subunit ribosomal RNA
Source: RNAcentral
GACGAACGCUGGCGGCGUGCUUAACACAUGCAAGUCGAACGGUAAGGCCCUUCGGGGUGCACGAGUGGCGAACGGGUGAGUAACACGUGGGUGAUCUGCCCUGCACUUCGGGAUAAGCCUGGGAAACUGGGUCUAAUACCGGAUAGGACUCCGGACUGCAUGGUCUGGGGUGGAAAGCUUUUGCGGUGUGGGAUGGGCCCGCGGCCUAUCAGCUUGUUGGUGGGGUGAUGGCCUACCAAGGCGACGACGGGUAGCCGGCCUGAGAGGGUGACCGGCCACACUGGGACUGGGAUACGGCCCAGACUCGUACGGGAGGCAGCAGUGGGGAAUAUUGCACAAUGGGCGCAAGCCUGAUGCAGCGACGCCGCGUGAGGGAUGACGGCCUUCGGGUUGUAAACCUCUUUCAGCACAGACGAAGCGCAAGUGACGGUAUGUGCAGAAGAAGGACCGGCCAACUACGUGCCAGCCGCCGCGGUAA